Molecule: long non-coding RNA, 1692 nt
Organism: Oreochromis niloticus (Nile tilapia)
Lineage: Eukaryota; Metazoa; Chordata; Actinopteri; Cichliformes; Cichlidae
Source: Ensembl
UUAUUUUUUGUAAUUCAUAUUUUUUCAUUUAAUCAAAAAUUUAAUUUGUGAAAUUUGUAUUUGAGAAUGAAGAAUGUGACAAUAUAUUUUUGUUCAAUAUUUAAUUUCUUUCAGUUGCAAUUGUUAAAUAAAAAAAUAUUCUUAUAAUUUAGCAAACUAAUUUAUCAAAAAAAUAUACUGUAUAUACAUAUAUCCGUAUUAGUUUUAAUAAAUUAAUUUGACACCUGUAUUGAAAAUACCAUAUUGUAUUCAUACAGAAUCAAUAUGGUAUCAUUGUUUGUCUGUUCACUGAUUGCUGAAACUAAGAGCUAGUUUGAUCUGUUUAGAUCUAAAGUAUCCAAACUCGAGCUCUAAUGUUUCUUCACCCUUGUGUGUGUGAUAUCUGAUUUCCUGCAUGCUGGCAGAGCAGCAGUUUGUGCUAACAGAUGGAGACGGUGUGGAGAGACGGUGGUGUUUCCUCAGAAGAACUAGCAGAGUCACCAAGGACACCAGUCCAUCUCACCACCUUGACUUGCUGACUGAUGCUGAUGCUCGUCUGCACUGCACAGAGGAAAUCAACUGACCGAGGAGUGUUUCUGAGUGAGGGAGAGAGGAGUCAUCAUCCAGGUAAAGUGACGUGGAUCAGUGGAUACACUUGUCUCCCCUUUAAAGGAGAUACUCUUAGAGAGAGACAAUCCGAGUCAUCCUUAAAUGUUAGUGCUUUCAAAUACACAAACAUUUUUAAAGGACAAAAACAAACAUCCAACUUUGACUGUAACACAAAAUAAAUCUUUGCAUGUGUGUUUUCAAACUCUCAGAUGGGCAGGAUAUCAGUCUUGGACUGUCUAACCUCCCGGAGCAGCACUGAAUGAUCACCACACAUGAGCAUGUUCCUGCAACAUUCAGCAUCUGAUCCUUGUUCAUCUGUGUGCUUCUGCUUUUGGUAAAUAGAGUUACCUAACUACAGUAACUAAACACAUGCCAUCCAUUUCUAACGUCCUGGUUACUUCCUGUCAGUUAUUUUAGAAACCAUGUGGUCACCUGACCUAACACUGUUUCUUCUUCUUCCCUUUAAUGUUGAAGUGUCAAAUGUCCAACAGCUGGAGAGGAAACUAAACCAGUGUACUGGGAUGUUUCAUCAACAUGUGCCAGACGCUGUUCCUUCAUGGGGACAUCACCAGAGACAGCCCCGCCCACCUCAGGACCUCGCCAUUGAUCAUGAUGAUUAUAAUGAUGACAGCGAGCGGAACUAAGACUGUAAAAAUCUAUGACCAGAAUGUUUAGGUGCUUUCUAAUUAUUAAUGAAUACUGAGAGCCUCUUUCUGUGUUUUGUCUGUUUUGAUUUUUUUACCUCAUUUGUUUCUAACAAAGUUCCCCAAACUCACACAGUUUACAUUCUGUAUGCGUUUCCAUCUUUACCAGCCACACUCUAACUGCCUUUAGGAAAACAAACCAUAGAAAUCGUCGUUUUUCUCUUUUGUAAUUGAUGAUAAUUCAGUGAAUAUAUUGCGCUGCUUCCUUUUAUUGCGUCACACAUUGCUUUACGUUUUUCAGUGUCCAGUUAUUUUUUACUGCUGUUUGAAUUCUCUGUAUGUUUAACCCUAUAGACUGUGUAAUGGACUGCUUGUCGCCCUGUUUGUAACCGCCGCCUGCUUUUGACUAAAGAUUUGGAUUUCUGACUUUAACACAGCCUCUGUGUGUCCUCCCUUUGUG